RNAcentral lists this unclassified non-coding RNA (636 nucleotides) under Hevea brasiliensis (rubber tree). Lineage: Eukaryota; Viridiplantae; Streptophyta; Magnoliopsida; Malpighiales; Euphorbiaceae. The record is from RNAcentral.
GCUUAACAUAUUUUAUAUAGAUUAUGAUGGUGCAUCUAGCAAGCUAAAUUUGGUUUCACUUUAGUUACUGUUUGGACCUACAUAUUUCAUCUGAAUUAUGGCAUUUGUAAUCAACUCAACACAACUAAACCUCAUCCUAAAUUGGUUGUCGUUCUUGGUUCUAAUUUUGUUAAAUGAUGCAAUGUUAGAAAUAUUGCCCUCGAUACUGUAUUGAGUGUUGAACUACCAAGCCUCUUCAGAAAUGAAGCAUUGCAUCGUAUGAAUUUAAGAAUUUUGCAAGAUAUAUCAAUAAAAUAUGUGGUCAUCAUUUUAAUAAUAAAUAUUAAUCACGGGUGAUGGAUGAAAGGGUUUGUUGUCAUUUAGCCAUUGAGGCCUGCCUGAGGGUGAAAAGCUUUCAAAGAAAUGAAAACUCCAAGCUACUUUUUGUGCCGAAAGCUUAAUAUGUUGUCCUUAUUCAGUGUUUUCAUGAUGUUCCAAAAUGCUGAAAGUGCUGAAAUUUUUUUUGGGGAAGAAGUUUGGUGCAUUAAUUGUUUUUUAGUAUCCUUUGAUUUGGGUUUUGUCAUAAUAACUUUUUUCUAGCCGAAUGAUACAUUAUUUUCAUGACUUUUUACAGGAUGAUGUAUGGUGUUUUGGUUG